AUUGAACGCUGGCGGCAUGCCUUACACAUGCAAGUCGAACGGCAGCGCGGGAGCAAUCCUGGUGGCGAGUGGCGGACGGGUGAGGAAUACAUGGGAAUCUGCCCAGUCGUGGGGGAUAACGUAUGGAAACGUACGCUAAUACCGCAUGCGCCCUACGGGGGAAAGUCGGGGACCGCAAGGCCUGACGCGAUUGGAUGAGCCCAUGUUCGAUUAGCUAGUUGGCGGGGUAAAGGCCCACCAAGGCGACGAUCGAUAGCUGGUCUGAGAGGAUGAUCAGCCACACUGGAACUGAGACACGGUCCAGACUCCUACGGGAGGCAGCAGUAGGGAAUAUUGGACAAUGGGGGCAACCCUGAUCCAGCCAUGCCGCGUGAGUGAAGAAGGCCCUCGGGUUGUAAAGCUCUUUUGUCCGGAAAGAAAGCAAUCGGUUAAUACCCGGUUGUUCUGACGGUACCGGAAGAAUAAGCACCGGCUAACUUCGUGCCAGCAGCCGCGGUAA
RNAcentral lists this ribosomal RNA (499 nucleotides) under uncultured bacterium. Its description in RNAcentral is "bacterial SSU rRNA". It matches the Rfam family "Bacterial small subunit ribosomal RNA", at positions 30 to 523 of the family's 1533-position model. The record is from RNAcentral.